UGCGAACACGAGUCGCUGGUGUAAAGAUAAUUCCACUUUAGCUAGUGCUUUUUAUCUGUUCGCAGAGCAAAUGCGCUUCGCCCAAGCAUAACCCAAAUUUAUUAUAUCAAAAAUUUGCGGUGCAUAUUUUUUUCGUGAAGCCAACA
This 146-nucleotide small nucleolar RNA is filed under the name Drosophila virilis. RNAcentral's name for it is "snoRNA:GJ25466". The record is from RNAcentral. Lineage: Eukaryota; Metazoa; Arthropoda; Insecta; Diptera; Drosophilidae.